Molecule: ribosomal RNA, 828 nt
Filed under: uncultured bacterium
Lineage: Bacteria
Description: bacterial SSU rRNA
Rfam family: Bacterial small subunit ribosomal RNA
Source: RNAcentral
CAUGCAAGUCGAACGAAGCUUGACGGAUGAUUUCUUCGGAAUGAAACCAGAUAUGACUUAGUGGCGGACGGGUGAGUAACACGUGAGCAACCUGCCUUUCAGAGGGGGAUAACGGCUGGAAACGGUCGCUAAUACCGCAUGAUGUGUUCGGAUGGCAUCAUCUGAACAUCAAAGAUUUAUCGCUGAAAGAUGGGCUCGCGUCUGAUUAGAUAGUUGGUGGGGUAACGGCCUACCAAGUCGACGAUCAGUAGCCGGACUGAGAGGUUGAACGGCCACAUUGGGACUGAGAUACGGCCCAGACUCCUACGGGAGGCAGCAGUGGGGAAUAUUGCACAAUGGGGGAAACCCUGAUGCAGCAACGCCGCGUGAAGGAUGACGGUUUUCGGAUUGUAAACUUCUUUUCUUAGUGACGAAGACAGUGACGGUAGCUAAGGAAUAAGCAUCGGCUAACUACGUGCCAGCAGCCGCGGUAAUACGUAGGAUGCAAGCGUUAUCCGGAUUUACUGGGUGUAAAGGGAGCGCAGGCGGGACUGCAAGUUGGAUGUGAAAUACCGUGGCUUAACCACGGAACUGCAUCCAAAACUGUAGUUCUUGAGUGAAGUAGAGGCAAGCGGAAUUCCGAGUGUAGCGGUGAAAUGCGUAGAUAUUCGGAGGAACACCAGUGGCGAAGGCGGCUUGCUGGGCUUUAACUGACGCUGAGGCUCGAAAGUGUGGGGAGCAAACAGGAUUAGAUACCCUGGUAGUCCACACUGUAAACGAUGAUAGCUAGGUGUGGGGGGUCUGACCCCUUCCGUGCCGGAGUUAACGCAAUAAGCUAUCCACCUGGGG